GAGCUCACUUUGGCAGGACAUAUACUAAAAUCAGAACAAUACAGAGAAGAUUAACAUGGCCCCUGAGCAAAGAUGACAUGCAAAUUUGUGAAGCAUUUCAUGUUUUC
Molecule: small nuclear RNA, 107 nt
Organism: Marmota marmota marmota (Alpine marmot)
Lineage: Eukaryota; Metazoa; Chordata; Mammalia; Rodentia; Sciuridae
Source: Ensembl